CAUUUUAAUAUAGUCAUACUGGGACAUUUUAAGUUAGGUACGUCCCAGGAAGUGUGCCUGCAGAGGACGUUCACCACUUAUGGCAACCUGGAGCCGUCUGUUUUACUGCAGUUUCACCACUGGUCCUACGUCAGGCAUCCGCAAGCACAAGAUAAAAAAAGUCGAUCUCGACUAAAUUUGAACUCAGGACGUAAAGCCGGAAGAAAUGUUAUUAGGUUCAACGCAUUAAUUACUCUGCCAUCUCGCUGCCUGCUUUCAUUUAUAAGUAAUGAAUCACGAAUGUUUAAAUUGGUUGGCUUUUAAGCUCCAUAUGUGAAACAAACAGCCGGAAUACAAGUGAAAUCUCUACCAAAUAGGUUCAGCACAAAACAUAGAGGAGCUCACACAUAUUACUAACAACCCCAACGAAAACCGUAUUGUGCAACCACAUUUAUACGAAGAAAUGUGUACAUCAUCAAACAAAGAUAAUUGUCUACACAACAAAAAUUAGGUAAAACCCAAAUAAACACUGCCAGUCUUCUGCUCAAUUCACACAAAUGAAAAUUAGCAGAAUAUGCUUAUAUUCAACACAAAGAUUUUACCGAUAAUCUCUCCGACAAUGAAUAAUUUUGUUAAAAGGCUGGAGGGAAAAUAUUUACGGUCUAAAGGUAAUAUUUGAUCCUCACAGACUAUCGGGUUUAGAAGACCUAAAAGAAAUAUCAAAUAUAACACUAGAACGAUGAAAAGAACAUGCCGAAAAUACAAGAAGAUUUUUUUUCUUUAUCUUUUUUUUUACUUCAUUUAUUCAUUGGAUCUCGGUUAUUGUGGUGUACCGUCAAGUUGCUUCAGCUGAACAAAUCGAUUUAUUUUUAAGGGUGGUACUUAUUUUAUAGUUUUCUUUGCCAAACAAACAACGAGCAGUGGACUGGAGGUUAACACACAUAUAAACAUAGAAGACGGCUUCCAUAUAAUUUUCGUCUACCAAAUUCAAUGACAAUCCUUUGGUUGACCAAGGAAAUACUGGAAGACACUCGCUGAAUGUGCCGCGCAGUGGAACAGAACCCGAAAUCACGACUUUGUAAAACAAACUUCUAAAUUACAAAAGCUUGUAAAAAUUAAAAUACAUGAAUAAAAAAUUGAGCACAUAAACCGCGAAGAUAGGUGCGAAAUGUGUGAAGCAAAUUACAGAACAAAAUAACCUGUAAACAUAACUUAUACCACAAAGAAAAAUAUUAAGAGAUACUAAAAAAAGAUUGAAGAAUAAAAUAUCCUGGGGUGAAACAUUUUUAGAACGAAAAGCGAUAGAUCUUCUCUGAAGCGACGAAAACCUACCAACAGCGAUGUAACUUAACGAUAGAAUAAUAACAAUAAUAUAAAAAUCAAAAUCUGGUCAUCGUAGAUUUAGUAGGGAUGGGUAUAAGAAUCAAUAGUUCCAGAAUAAACAGAAUUGUAGUCGCCAAAAUGAUUACAAAGGAAAGUAGGUUCUUUAGCAGGUUUAUAUAUGUGGGGUUAUGAAAUCCCUAAGUACUUCGAAUGCAUGUAUAUAGUGGAAUAUAAAAAUAAGAUUUGAUAAAGGAUACGAUCUUUCCCCUCUGUUAAAUCACUAAAGGAAAGACACAAAUAUAUAAGAAAAAAGAAAAAUACUAUACAUUUAGAACAUAACACAAUUGAAGUGUCUUCUAUCAAAGAACAUCGGAAACAAUACAUCCGUUAUAAAGACUCUGCCGUUAACAAAGUUGAUAACGAUUCUUUGAAUAAAACAAUCAAGCGACGACAAUCCUAAAAAGCAAACAUGACCAAGGGGAAAGAAUAAAAACCACUUCAGCGGCAAGAAAAGUAGAAUUAUUCUCAGAAGAACAAUAAUGUUUGCGACAGCAUGAGUAUCAUCAAGGGCGAUAUCGUUUAAUAUUGAAAACAAUUCGAAUGCCAUAUCAGCUUCAAACGGAGGAGAGGUGCUAUAAACAAAAGUCAACAAGAAAAAGUGAUAGAAAGAAGAGUAAAGAACAAAACACCAACUUUAAUUUGUAAUGAUAAACAAGCAUAUUUAAAAGCACAAUAUUCUAAAGAAAUAUUUAAUAACUGACAUAAAGAGCUAGAAAAAUACCUGGCAUAUAAAUUACCAAUGCUACACAUUUGCAUAUAUACAGAAAAUGCAGACAUUUCUUUUUUAUGUAGAGUAUUUUGAAUAUAAUAGGAAACACACGACCACGUUAUUUGACUGCAAAGCAAUCAGAACUCGGUUUAUAGCAGGCGUAAUUGACAAACCUACGCAUUUCAUAAUUUCUGGCAUAA
Molecule: long non-coding RNA, 2271 nt
Organism: Octopus bimaculoides (California two-spot octopus)
Lineage: Eukaryota; Metazoa; Mollusca; Cephalopoda; Octopoda; Octopodidae
Source: RefSeq, a predicted model, not a curated record